UGCGCCUUGCUGUGAGUCAUCAGGCGG
Molecule: non-coding RNA, 27 nt
Filed under: Mus musculus (house mouse)
Lineage: Eukaryota; Metazoa; Chordata; Mammalia; Rodentia; Muridae
Source: RNAcentral